UGGUGGUUUGCAAAGUAAUUCA
This 22-nucleotide microRNA is filed under the name Rattus norvegicus (Norway rat). RNAcentral's name for it is "Rno-Mir-876-v1_3p (mature (guide))". Lineage: Eukaryota; Metazoa; Chordata; Mammalia; Rodentia; Muridae. The record is from RNAcentral.